Molecule: long non-coding RNA, 2109 nt
Filed under: Marmota monax (woodchuck)
Lineage: Eukaryota; Metazoa; Chordata; Mammalia; Rodentia; Sciuridae
Source: RNAcentral
UUUAUUGCAAGAAAAUUAGUAUGGCUUCAAACUGCCACAGGUAGGCACGUAACAAUGGCUAUUCAGCUAUACUGAUCCAAAAUGGAGAAAACUGAUGAUACAAGGGCCAAACAUCUUAUGAAAUGCAACUAUUUAUAGACUUGUUUUGCUAUAGGGAGGCUGGUGAACACGCUGAAUACGAAUUACCUCAGUUCUGCAGCUUUCUAUGUCUUUUUAAUGCAUUCUGUUUCAGGGUCACUUUCAAUCAAUAUUUCAUUUACUUACUGAGAUUGAAUGGGCGCUCUGAGACACAGUGUGCUGUUUAUCAUACAGAUUGGACACCUCAUUCUAGAUCCAAGAUCUUUUCCUCAACACUGGGAGCUGUCCUUUCAGCACCACAAAAUUACUGCUUGAAGUUGCAUUGCAGUUUUUUCCCCCCUCCUUUAUCACUGGGAGCUUUUCUUUCAGCACCACAACAUUGCACCUAGACUUUUUAAACGGCUGCCUUCCUCUUUGCACUGAAGACCAAUUUCGUCUGCACUUCCAGUUAUUGUUAUUACCUGUAGGACUUUCAGUCCUACUUCACCUCACCCAAUCCACUCCUGAAACAGUUAAAUGUAUCUAUUUCUGUGGAAAUCAUUUUCUCAUUGAAUGAUCAGAAACAAAGAUAAAUUCUAACCUGUAACGGCUCAUUUCGACUCAUUGCUUACAAUAGAUCUAAGCUCUUUUUUCUGCUUACUCGACUCCUUCCAGCUUCCCAUCACAUCUGUAACAAACUUUUAAAAUUAUAUUGCCACACCACCAUGCACAAGCCUACCUGCACAGUAGAGAUAGAUUAUUCCAUCGAAUUCAGAUGGUUAACAGAGGUUAGCAAGUCCUGUAUUAUAUAUUUAUAUCGCUUUCUAAGAAAGUGCAUAUUAAUGUUUACUUUAAGAAUGUGUAAAUGGUGCUAUCAAGAAUCUGAUAAAUUUUAUCCCAGUUUUUUGUGUACCACUUCUAAUGUAUGAGAUUUAUUUUUUUAUUGGAAAAAUAAACAGUAUGAAAGCAUUAAAUUGGUAGAUUUUAGUAAUUUAACAAAUGAAUGGAAUCCUUACGACACAGGCCCUAUCUUUCCCUGGAAAUUUUAAUGGUGGUAAUAGAUUUCAACAAGGUACUGAUAAUCACAUUCCUUUUAAUCCAUUCUUAUAUUGCAUUCUUGAUUCAUGUGCUGAUUCCUAAGUUCUUAAGUAAAUUUUAUUUACUGUAAGUCUUCUCCAAGAAGGGAAUUCUUGCUUUCCAAGGCAGCAAUUGAAAGGAGAUGAAAAUAUAAUUUAAUAAUCUUUAUAUCACAGAAAAGAUUUGAGAGCAGUUACUCUGUUAGUAGGAGAAAUUCAUCACUCAUUAAAUACAGGGCAAGCAUGGCUAUACAUAAUAAUUUUGAGUGCAAUGCAGUCUUAUAAAUUUAAUGUACACACUUUAUUUAAAUGAUACAAACAGCCAUAUGAAAUUGCAUAUGAUUAGAAAACAGGAUGAACUCAUUUUGCCUCCUGCUUGGUUUCUCAUAAACAUGAUUACAUAAUAUUGUUAUGCACUGUUGUUCAUAGAUGUCUUUUUACAUAAAGGGUAAGUAUCAUAUUACUUUAACAGAUUAUUUUUGGAGUUCUGCAUGUUAUUUUUGUUUCAUCAGAUAUGUGCCCCCAAUUAAAAAAAAAACGUUAUUUCAAAAAAAAGUGAAAGUUUCACAACUUGUCAUGUUAAUUUUGAAAAAAUUGAAGUGUAGUACAUAUUACUAGAUAGGAUGUCAUUCCACUGGUCUAUAUAAACAAAAAAACAACUGUUCUUGAAAAUUGAAGCAUUACCUUGUAUAAUUAAUAAAGUACAUCAAAUCAGAUUUGUAAAUAAAAUAUUGUUUAAAUCUAAAGUAUUCAAUAUUUUGAUUAGAUUAUUUUUUUAAGGAAAAAUAUUUAACGUGUAUGUGCCGAAUUUUUUUUUAAAUAGUUUUUUAUAAUUGCAAUGGAAGGGCAAUUGUCUCAUUACAAGUGGUACAGAAGCCAAUACUUGGGUUACCAUAGAUAUAUAAACAAGUGAAAACUGUGGAACAAGUUUUAAGCUCAUUUUGGAAAAAAAAAAACAGUUCUGUAGAAAUGCAUA